RNAcentral lists this ribosomal RNA (497 nucleotides) under uncultured bacterium. Its description in RNAcentral is "partial 16S ribosomal RNA". It matches the Rfam family "Bacterial small subunit ribosomal RNA", at positions 28 to 507 of the family's 1533-position model. The record is from RNAcentral.
GAUGAACGCUGGCGGCGUGCCUAAUACAUGCAAGUCGAGCGAACAGACGAGGAGCUUGCUCCUCUGACGUUAGCGGCGGACGGGUGAGUAACACGUGGAUAACCUACCUAUAAGACUGGGAUAACUUCGGGAAACCGGAGCUAAUACCGGAUAAUAUAUUGAACCGCAUGGUUCAAUAGUGAAAGACGGUUUUGCUGUCACUUAUAGAUGGAUCCGCGCCGCAUUAGCUAGUUGGUAAGGUAACGGCUUACCAAGGCAGCGAUGCGUAGCCGACCUGAGAGGGUGAUCGGCCACACUGGAACUGAGACACGGUCCAGACUCCUACGGGAGGCAGCAGUAGGGAAUCUUCCGCAAUGGGCGAAAGCCUGACGGAGCAACGCCGCGUGAGUGAUGAAGGUCUUCGGAUCGUAAAACUCUGUUACUAGGGAAGAACAAAUGUGUAAGUAACUAUGCACGUCUUGACGGUACCUAAUCAGAAAGCCACGGCUAACUACGUG